RNAcentral lists this ribosomal RNA (497 nucleotides) under uncultured bacterium. Its description in RNAcentral is "partial 16S ribosomal RNA". It matches the Rfam family "Bacterial small subunit ribosomal RNA", at positions 28 to 507 of the family's 1533-position model. The record is from RNAcentral.
GAUGAACGCUGGCGGCUUUCCUAAUACAUGCAAGUCGAGCGAACGGACGAGAAGCUUGCUUCUCUGAUGUUAGCGGCGGACGGGUGAGUAACACGUGGAUAACCUACCUAUAAGACUGGGAUAACUUCGGGAAACCGGAGCUAAUACCGGAUAAUAUUUUGAACCGCAUGGUUCAAAAGUGAAAGACGGUCUUGCUGUCACUUAUAGAUGGAUCCGCGCUGCAUUAGCUAGUUGGUAAGGUAACGGCUUACCAAGGCAACGAUGCAUAGCCGACCUGAGAGGGUGAUAGGCCACACUGGAACUGAGACACGGUCCAGACUCCUACGGGAGGCAGCAGUAGGGAAUCUUCCGCAAUGGGCGAAAGCCUGACGGAGCAACGCCGCGUGAGUGAUGAAGGUCUUCGGAUCGUAAAACGCGGGUAUUAGGGAAGAACAUAUGUGUAAGUAACUGUGCACAUCUUGACGGUACCUAAUCAGAAAGCCACGGCUAACUACGGG